AUGGCAAUUGAACCUCUCCGUGACAAUCUGGAUGGCAUCGCAGUAACCGACCAACCAUACGAUGGUGAUUCCUCUUCCCAGCAGCAACUCACCGUGCACAACUACGACCUGAGUGGUCCACACUCAACAGUUCUCUCCCCAGCCAACCAAGUAAGUGUCAACAGCAGCCAUGGACAAAACAAAUUUCAGAUUGCUGCAGGGGGUAGCCUUGAGCGCCACCGAAUCAGAUCAAACAAUGCUCUUCACUACAUAAGCCAGAUGCUGAUGGAAGACGUUGACGAGGGGGUCGGCAUAUGCCAAGGGGCUGCUCUUCAGGCUGCUGAGAAGCCAUUCCGUGACAUUCUUGGGGAGGGAUACGCGCCGCCUACUAACUGGCCGCCAUUGCAUAGCAAAAACAUACCAGACAACCCUGAUAAGAGUGGGACCAAUCGUUACAAGAGGCUCUGGAACACUAGCUUCAGUAAUGACUAUUCCAGUUACAACGUGUUACAGCCUUUAGCAACCCCGUUGAGUCCAUAUAUCUGCAAUAGGAGUCCUUUUAUACCAAACCAGUCAUCGAUAAGUGUCGGAUUGACUUCCGGAUCUGGCCUCCCUGCCUUGCAUGGCCAGAGAGGUGUCAGGGAGGAAAGAAUGUUUGCUCCAAGUAUUGAUAAGCUGGUGAUAUAUUCAAAGAAUAACAUACUUUAUAUUUCCCAACUGACUACGAAGGAAAAAGUAAGAGAGAGGACCGAAAACACAAUUUUUGAGGUGGCAGACCCAAGGGGUUGGGCUAUCUUUCAAGGAAGGAACAAUGAACAUCAUGCCAUCACCACUUGUGCAAUAAUUCGAAAUGAAAGUUUUGACCAAGUUGUGCUAUGCUAUGGUCAUUCUGACCGAAUAACAAGACUGCAAGAAAGGAUGGCGGGGGAAGGAAACAAGACCUCACUGAAAGGCCAGAGCAGAAGUAGGAAGCAACCGAGGAAAGAGUUGGUUGAUCUCCGGACUCUCCUCACCCACUGCGCACAAGCUGUGGCAGAAGACAGCUACCUGUUGGCCAGUGAACUGCUAUUAAAGAUAAGACAACACUCUUCAGCAGAUGCUGAUUGUACUCAGAGACUGGCAUUUUACUUGGCGGAUGGCCUCAAGGCACGCUUGGCUAGGAUCGGGAGUCAGGUUUAUCGCAAUCUCGUGGAAAGGCGAACAAGUACAGCAGAUUGGUUAGAGGCUUAUAGCCUUUUUCUUCCAGCUUUCCCUUUUGGGAGGGCGUUAUACUACUUUGCCACCCAAGCUAUUCUUGAUGUCUCACAAGGGAAACCAAGGGUACACAUCGUUGAUUUCGGCAUCGGCUUCGGCUUUCAGUGGCCAUUAAUGAUUCAGAGACUUGCACAGCAAGAAGAGGGAGCCCCUAAGCUUCGGAUCACAGGUAUAGACGUUCCCCAGCCAGGUUUCUACCCCUGCGAAAUGAUCGAGGAGACAAGGAAGCGGUUGGCUGAUUACACAAAUAGGUUCAAGGUACCUUUCCAGUAUCAGGGCAUUGCCGCUUCAAGAUGGGAGACUAUCAAAAUUGAGGAUCUUAACAUUGACGAGGAUGAAGUUCUCAUAGUGAACUGCAUGUUCCGGAUGAAGAAUCUCGGUCAUGAAACCGAUGCCGUAAAUGGUGCAAGGGAUAAGGUGCUCAAAACUAUGAGGAGGAUGAACCCGAAGAUUUUUAUUUCUGGCACCGUGAAUGGGUUACUCAGUUCUCCCUUCUUCAUACAACGUUUCAAAGAGGUUAUGCUCCAUUACUCUUCACUGUUUGACAUGCUUGACGCAAAUGUUCCACGGGAUAACGAAGCAAGAAAGAUGGUUGAGAGGAUCCUAUUUGGGCAGGAUGCUCUUAACAUCAUAGCAUGUGAGGGUGCAGAAAGAACUCAGAGGCCAGAAAUUUACAGGCAGUGGCAAGCAAGGUGCCUCAAGGCUGGGUUCCAGCAGCUUCCUGUCGAUCAAGCCAUCUUAAAGAACAUAGUACACAGGAAGAACUUACAUUAUCAUGAAGAAUUCUUUGCUGUUGAAGAUUGUGGCUGGCUGCUACAAGGAUGGAAGGGGAGAGUACUUUAUGCUAUAUCUAAAUGGAAACCUAAUGAAACAUAUGGGGACCAGUAA
This 2121-nucleotide ribosomal RNA is filed under the name Triticum aestivum (bread wheat). RNAcentral's name for it is "partial small subunit ribosomal RNA". The record is from RNAcentral. Lineage: Eukaryota; Viridiplantae; Streptophyta; Magnoliopsida; Poales; Poaceae.